GGAUAGAUAGCUCAGUAGGAAGAGCGUUAGGUUGAAGCCCUAAGCGUCGGUGGUUCGAAUCCAUCUCUAUCCA
Molecule: transfer RNA, 73 nt
Filed under: Caudoviricetes sp.
Lineage: Duplodnaviria; Heunggongvirae; Uroviricota; Caudoviricetes
Description: tRNA-Phe
Rfam family: tRNA
About the family: Transfer RNA (tRNA) molecules are approximately 80 nucleotides in length.
Source: RNAcentral